ACCUGCAUUCAAAAGUGAUCACGGGCUGUCUGUGCUCUGGUCAUUGAUAAUGCAGGGAGAGGAAUUGUUGAAAGCAGUUUCCCGUGUUUGGAGGGUCCACACCUGUCCCUUUCAAAUGCUGGCGCUUUCACACA
Equus asinus (donkey) is the source of this 134-nucleotide small nucleolar RNA. Its record names the gene SNORA71. It matches the Rfam family "Small nucleolar RNA SNORA71". Rfam says of the family: The members of this family belong to the H/ACA class of snoRNAs which bind a number of proteins (including dyskerin, Gar1p and Nop10p) to form snoRNP complexes. This class of snoRNAs are thought to guide the sites of modification of uridines to pseudouridines by forming direct base pairing interactions with substrate RNAs. This family includes U71 (SNORA71), ACA39 (SNORA39) and ACA60 (SNORA60). NCBI's taxonomy places the organism in Eukaryota, Metazoa, Chordata, Mammalia, Perissodactyla, Equidae. The record is from Ensembl.